Molecule: non-coding RNA, 2843 nt
Organism: Monodelphis domestica (gray short-tailed opossum)
Lineage: Eukaryota; Metazoa; Chordata; Mammalia; Didelphimorphia; Didelphidae
Source: RefSeq, a predicted model, not a curated record
CCAAGGUAUUCUGUCAUGGUUGCAACCUUCCCAGUCAGCCAGAUUCAGUGCAGUAGGUGGGGGAGGGGCAUUGGAGGUUGAACUUUUCUGCCCUGUGGAGGCUUCUUUUUUGCACUAUUGAUAGACUCGAUUCAGCCAGUUGAGUUGAUCUGCAGAGCUAGAUGUUCCCUGAGGUCAAAGCUUCCAGAGAGAGAGGCCCAAGAUGGAAGAGGGGUGGCUGAAGGCUGCAACCAGGCUGCCCUCCUCUCUGCCCCUCUCCUCCAGCUGCUUCCCUGCCAGCUGUGGUCAGAGCCCUGAGCCUCAAGUAGCUAUGAUAACAAGGCACCUCUCUCCAGGCUGGAGCCCUCAGCAUAGUAGGUGCCAGUUGUCCUCAGGGGUUCCAAUUCUACUGCCUCCUACAACAAGUAGACUUUUGAUGACCCAAAAAACCUAGGCCUUAUUCAGUGAGAAGUCUUCAUCUCCCUUCACCCAGAAGAACAUCCAUCAGUGGAAUUCCCUCCCUCCCAAAAUAGGACAUGAUCUGACCUUCAAAAUUCCUGAUUUAGAAAUCUUUGAAAUAGAUUGCUUCCUGUUAUUCCUGAAGCACUGAAUGGAUAGAGCUGAGCCCUACUUGGCAGUUUCAUCACACUCAAGUCACUAGUUUGAAGCUGCCUGAGUCCAUGCCUGCCAAGCUAAAUCUCUUCCAAGCCUGAUUCACUCAUUCACAAUUCCACCAGACUUGGACUACCAGCCAAAGAUUCUGCAGAUCUGGAAUAAAUAACCAUUUCCUGCCUACAAAGAGGAGAGGCUAUCCUGAAAGCUCACUCAACAGCAGCACUUCCAAAGGCCCUGGGUCUGGUUCCUUCAUUGUAUUUUCGGAAAACCCUUCAGGAAGUGAAUGGGGAGAAAAAAGCGGCUUUUCCCAAAAGUAGUGGCCAAAUACUCUUCAAAGGACAAUCAUCCCAAGAUUGAGCCAAAGUUUCCAUAUUUCCAUCUUCAGAAUUAUUCAUUAUUGAAAGAAGAUUUCUUGUCCAGAACUAAGGAGAUACCACACUUUUAUCAGGCUAGAACCAAAUUAUUACCACUUUCAAAAAGAAAGUUUAUACCUGUAUCCUCAGAAUCCCAGAAACAAAGGGAAAAAAUUCAGCAUCAAUCUGAAUUUGGUGAUCAGAAAAUGGCUGUGCUGUUAGCUUAUCUUGACAAUUGGAACAUGGCUAAACCACUCAUACCCCAAAAGCAACAUUAUAUGGCCACAGUUUUACCUUCAAUAUACAAGGAGUACAAGAUUAAGGAAAUCCCUGUGUCUUUACCAUCCCUAAACCAAAAUGUAACAUCUCUACCCAGUCUUGACCACAAGAUUCCAUCUCUAGUUCAUCCUGACUCUUUGGAAAACAAUUCUUUGGACUCUGACCAGAUACACAAGAUUCCAUAGUACCUGUCAUACUUCAACCAGUGGCUCAUAUCCUCUCCAAUGAACAUUGAUUUGAGAUCCCACUUAUUCUCUACUCCCAGGAUAGAGCUGAGCCCUACUUGGCAGUUUCAUCACACUCAAGUCACUAGUUUGAAGCUGCCUGAGUCCAUGCCUACCAAGCUAAAUCUCUUCCAAGCCUGAUUCACUCAUUCACAAUUCCACCAGACUUGGACUACCAGCCAAAGAUUCUGCAGAUCUGGAAUAAAUAACCAUUUCCUGCCUACAAAGAGGAGAGGCUAUCCUGAAAGCUCACUCAACAGUAGCAUUUUGGGUCUUACCAUGGUGCUACUUCAUCAACCUCAGACCAGUUGACUACACCUUCAUUUGUUUAGGAGGUGUCCCAUCUCUACUGUGUCCUAACCUCCUAGGCUGAGUAUACACCAGGCUCUAAUGUCCACAUCUCCAAAACACAGAGGCCAUGGAAUAAUGCUUCUAUGGAGGAAAGGACAACCCUAGACAAUAUUAUGACAUUCCCUGUGUGUCUGACAACCAGAACUGAGGCUGCAAGGCAUGACAGCACCAUCCAUGACAGGCCUGGUACAUUGCAUAUCAACUACUCAGGACCCUGACUAUGGAAACUCAACUGUCUUGAGUCUAGCCCAAAGUUGUAAUAGGCUAUGACUUUUUGGCUAAGAUUGAAUCACACUCAGAGGUGGCUCCUGAAUGUCAACACUAAGCUUAUUCUGUAGAGAGAAGAGAAGAUUUGCAAUAUUUAAGAAACAUUAAACCAUCUGCCAUUGGUGAGAAAGCUGUGUCUACUAGAACUGCCAAUAUCAUUUAAUUUUAUUGCCCAGGAGAAAAUACUUAAAAUAAUAUCUACAAGGGGAUUCUUCUCCAUUGGAUGAAGGAAUGUCCUCCAUGCUGACCCAGAAUUCAAGUGCUAUAUAGUGUGGUUUGUUGAUAUGUGCUAUAUAGUUGAAUGGCAUGUUUGGUCUGUAUCUCUGAGAUCUCAAAUGUCAGCCCCAACACUCAAGGAAUCAUGUCUUUAGUGAUUCAAGCACUGGUCAAGCAACACCUUUAUUUGGUUAGGAGGAAAUAGGUAUGAAAAAGUCAUAGAUAAAAUAUAGUUCAUUUUUAGUUUCUAGUAAUUACAUUCUAAUAUAUACUCUCCUCUACCACCCCUCACAUUAACAUUCCAUGUCAGAAUCUAAUUGGCCCCUGAAUCACCCAUUUACCACCAACCACAUUUUGGUGGUCACCAGAAUUGACUAUAUACUUAAUAUUGAUAACAAGCAAAAUACAUAAUAGUUAACAGACAUUCACAAAUAAAAUGCCCACAUACAGUAGCUGUUCUUGUGAAGAAGAGUGAAGGACACCUGAAGGGUUUCCCUAAACCACUAGAGAAGUUGUAAGAGUAAAUAAACUGACUUACCUGUAUGAAUGUCAUCCUAAA